Hemibagrus wyckioides is the source of this 2419-nucleotide RNA transcript. It is a transcript of the gene named E3 ubiquitin/ISG15 ligase TRIM25-like, with no coding region annotated. The record is from RefSeq and is a predicted model, not a curated record. NCBI's taxonomy places the organism in Eukaryota, Metazoa, Chordata, Actinopteri, Siluriformes, Bagridae. The transcript has 7 exons.
CCGGACACCCCCACCCUGUGCGGGGCUCGAACCCGGACCUCCCUGGUGCUGUGUGCGCCAUCGACAUACAUAAACAUGAGACAGGGGAAGACUAAAUUAAACACUGGACAUGACACUAAUAAACCAAAACCUAACAAACAAAACAAGGAACACGGAACAAUAGCUGACAAAGGCAGGUACAAAAGGAUCCCUAUUUAUAGGGCACAACAUUAGGGCUAAUGAAGAACAGGUGAUACGGCAGGAACGAGAACAAUAGGAUAGGCGUGGCACAAGAUACACAUAAUAAAGCAGGCUCCAUUGAGUCACCUGCCAGCCCCCUCUCCAGGCCUGGCAGGUAACUGUCCAGCAGUUCCUGACAUAGUCCCCUCUCUAAGGCACGGCUCCUGAAGCGCCUCCAACAUAGCCGAAGGACGCCCCAGGCAUAGGCGGCAGGUGUAGUCCUGGAGGGGAGAUGUGAGACAUGGCAUAGUUCUUAACUGCAGUCCACAACAGUACCCCAGAUCCUGAGGAUACAGUGACAUCCGACACGCACACGAGAUGGGAGGGAAGCGUCUUCCACCCAAGAUGCCGAGCGAUGUCCUCCACAGAAACUCCAUCGUGGAGUGGCGUCCCUGGCUGGCGAGGUGGUGGAAGCCACGCUUCCAGUGGGUCCGAUAAAAAAGGGAGUGGCCCCCAUGACAUGAAGUCGGGCGGCAUCCUCCGUGGAAACUCCAUCACGGAGCGGCGUCCUCGACCGGAACAAAGAUGGAAGCACCUCCCUGGGGAAAUGGGGAAGGAGGGCCACCUGCUCGAACUUCCUCUGAGGCAGGUGGUCUGUCAGAUGUCAUCCUCCAGGGUCCUUGCUCGUAGGCUGCAGUACCUGAUCGUGAACAGGAACUUGCUGGGAAUCCCACUGGGUCUUCAGGAAUGGUCGGCUAUUCUGUCACGUCCGGACACCCCCACCUUGUGCUGGGCUCGAGCCCAGACCUCCCUGGUGCUGCGUGCGCCGGCACGUUGUGAAGAUAGACCUGUACACAGGAUUCAACAUUCUGCACAAACAGCACUGCAGGAAAGUAAAAGGAUCUUUACUGAGAUGAUCAAAUCCAUUGAGAGAAGACAAAGCGAGGUGACAGAGCUGAUCAGAGCUCAGGAGGAUGCUGCAGUGAGUCAAGCUGAAAAAGUCAUAAAGCAACUGGAGGAGGAGAUUGCAGAGCUGAAGAGAAGAGACUCUAAGAUGGAGGAACUUUCACACACAGAAGAUCCCAUCCAGUACCUCCAGACCUUUCAUUCUGUCUCGACUGGACCUUCAGACUUGCCCAUCAUCUCUCUCAAUUCUCUCCUAACUUUUGAGGGUGUAAUAAAGUCUGUAAAACAACUGAAAAUGGAAAUAGAAGAACACUGUUUUGCUGAAUUGAAGAAAAUAUCAAGUGGAGUCAGGAACGUCUGGAUUUUUCCACCUCGGGUUCCUGCUUCCAUCCCUGCACCAGCAGAGAUGCUGUUUAAAGGCAGAUAUACAACUUGCUUUCAGAAGAAGACAACUGAUGAAACUUCAGCCUUUCCUCAAAAAAAAGUAAAAUACCCUGUCCGUAAGACUACCUAUUCUAGAUUCAGGAUGUUCAAUGAUCAAGGUCAGUCUCUCUCUCUCUCUCUCUCUCUCUCUCACACACACACACACACAAGGUUAUUUUUAUUAUUACACAGCUUUAUUAUUACACAGCUAUAACUGUGUGCAUGUAUGUCUCUGUAGAGUCAGACUGAUCUUGAAACCCAGGAGAAAAAAGAUGAUUUUGAAGACAUGAUCAGGCUUGAGUUGGCAAAAAUGUAUAACCUGAAGAUCACCAAAUAUUGAUUCUCUCUCUCUCUCUCUCUCUCUCUCUCUCUCUCUCUAUCUAUCUAUCUUUUUGUCUUAUAAAUUCCCAUGUACACAUUGUGGAAUAAUCAGUGUAAUCAUCAUAAACAUAACAAUAAAAAGAAAGCUUUCUACUGGUGGUGUUCAUAUGCUGAUAAAAGUUUUAAUCAUUUUUAUGUUAGGAAGUCACACAGUGGAUCAGAAGACCAUCUGAAGAUCAUUUUUUCACCUAUAUAAUUUUAUCCCCAGUUUUAUAAGAUGUAAUAACUUUCCAUAAAUAAUUAAAGCAGCUGGUUCAGCAAAUGCAGUUUGUGUUAUUUUGACCCAAAUACGUUUAAUAAUGUAUUUUGCCAAGACUAAAUAAUAUAUAUUUUUCUUAUUUUUAUUCAUUUGUCAUCAUCAGGUGACAUAAAUAAAUUUGUUUGUUUAAUUGUGAUUGUGUUUGUACUGUGAUGCAGUUUGUCUGUAAUCAGUAGUGUUGUAUAAUUAAUUUGUAUGGAUCCAUGUUCUAAAAAAAAAUAAUAUAUAGUCAUCUGUGAUUUAUAAGCUUUUGAGGUUUUUACAGCCUUCGCUGUGGUUCAUUAUAUUAAU